AUUAAAUAUGUGCAUACAUGUAAUAUAUAUAGAUAUAUAUAUACAGUAUAUAUAUGAUUAAUAUUUUAAUAUAAUUGUAUAAUUAAAAUAUUAAAUUUUUGGCUGAUUUAUUUUAAAAACAGAAAUUAUUAAGAAUUAAAAAAAAAAGCCUUUCAGCACGAAAACACGGACGACUGUGUCGAAAAUUUUGACUAAAAAAAAAAAAAAAAAAAAAUGAAGAAAUAUGUAAAAAGAAAAAUAUAACAGUAUUAUCGACAUUAUCCUUCUUGAACUGAAUUAGCCGUCCACUCAGGGGACCUAUUAAAUAUUUGUCGCCAAAUUUCAGACGCUAAGACGUCACACUACAAAAAAAAUAAAGGACGGAUGUAACACUACAUUUUCCUAUUCCUGAGACAAUAAAAAUGGUAUUGUUCUAAUUCUGUGUUUCAUUUUAUUGCCGGGUAAAACAGAACGAAAUUUAUAGAUUUAGACAUUAAAGAAAUAUAUUAUUAUGACUUGUUUCAGUCGAAUCGAAUAUUUUUGCUGUCGAAAUCUUCUAAAUGGCCACUAUCUAAUAUCAUACUGUUGAAUGGAAUAAUAGUUUUGUAUUCCAUUGAUUGCCUACGCAGCCAAUCGACAGUAGGCUAACAGACAACAGACAGACAAGACUUCUAUAGUAAAAGCGAUAUAAUACAAAAGUAUUCGAUUCGUUUAAACACUGAUUACAUUUAUUACAUUUUUUGAUCAUUUUAAAUGCACAUAAUGUAGACGGAUACCGAAGAAUGAUCAACGACGUUUUAAAUGAAAAAUAUUCAACUUAUUUAAUACCUGUACAAUAUUUAGAGAAAAGAUAUUCUGUUAUUUCAGUAUCCUUGAACUUUGCGAAGCGACAAUCUCUUUCUAUUACAUUCCAGUGGACGACAAAGAUUAAGAGAUUAAAAAUAAAUAUAGCGACAGUGACUGAAAACAACAACAUUCUUUUAAAAGUUUAGCAAAAUGGCAUUUUCUUUUCGCAACAUGUUAUUACUAUAUCUGUCAAUAGUUAAAAGAUAAUUUUCCGUCCUGUUAAAUAUAAAUUUCCGUACACAUAAUUGAAAACACAGAGUAGAGGAAAUAACCUAAGCGCGAUAAAUCGAUUUAUCAUGUAACGCUCCACGGAGUAUUUAUCAAAAAUAAAUAGCGUGUCUGUUGCCAG
This 1174-nucleotide long non-coding RNA is filed under the name Androctonus crassicauda. The record is from RNAcentral. Lineage: Eukaryota; Metazoa; Arthropoda; Arachnida; Scorpiones; Buthidae.